This 2787-nucleotide ribosomal RNA is filed under the name Escherichia sp. MOD1-EC6842. RNAcentral describes it as "bacterial LSU rRNA". It matches the Rfam family "Bacterial large subunit ribosomal RNA". Lineage: Bacteria; Pseudomonadati; Pseudomonadota; Gammaproteobacteria; Enterobacterales; Enterobacteriaceae. The record is from RNAcentral.
AGCGUACACGGUGGAUGCCCUGGCAGUCAGAGGCGAUGAAGGACGUGCUAAUCUGCGAUAAGCGUCGGUAAGGUGAUAUGAACCGUUAUAACCGGCGAUUUCCGAAUGGGGAAACCCAGUGUGAUUCGUCACACUAUCAUUAACUGAAUCCAUAGGUUAAUGAGGCGAACCGGGGGAACUGAAACAUCUAAGUACCCCGAGGAAAAGAAAUCAACCGAGAUUCCCCCAGUAGCGGCGAGCGAACGGGGAGCAGCCCAGAGCCUGAAUCAGUGUGUGUGUUAGUGGAAGCGUCUGGAAAGGCGCGCGAUACAGGGUGACAGCCCCGUACACAAAAAUGCACAUACUGUGAGCUCGAUGAGUAGGGCGGGACACGUGGUAUCCUGUCUGAAUAUGGGGGGACCAUCCUCCAAGGCUAAAUACUCCUGACUGACCGAUAGUGAACCAGUACCGUGAGGGAAAGGCGAAAAGAACCCCGGCGAGGGGAGUGAAAAAGAACCUGAAACCGUGUACGUACAAGCAGUGGGAGCCUCUUUAUGGGGUGACUGCGUACCUUUUGUAUAAUGGGUCAGCGACUUAUAUUCUGUAGCAAGGUUAACCGAAUAGGGGAGCCGAAGGGAAACCGAGUCUUAACUGGGCGUUAAGUUGCAGGGUAUAGACCCGAAACCCGGUGAUCUAGCCAUGGGCAGGUUGAAGGUUGGGUAACACUAACUGGAGGACCGAACCGACUAAUGUUGAAAAAUUAGCGGAUGACUUGUGGCUGGGGGUGAAAGGCCAAUCAAACCGGGAGAUAGCUGGUUCUCCCCGAAAGCUAUUUAGGUAGCGCCUCGUGAAUUCAUCUCCGGGGGUAGAGCACUGUUUCGGCAAGGGGGUCAUCCCGACUUACCAACCCGAUGCAAACUGCGAAUACCGGAGAAUGUUAUCACGGGAGACACACGGCGGGUGCUAACGUCCGUCGUGAAGAGGGAAACAACCCAGACCGCCAGCUAAGGUCCCAAAGUCAUGGUUAAGUGGGAAACGAUGUGGGAAGGCCCAGACAGCCAGGAUGUUGGCUUAGAAGCAGCCAUCAUUUAAAGAAAGCGUAAUAGCUCACUGGUCGAGUCGGCCUGCGCGGAAGAUGUAACGGGGCUAAACCAUGCACCGAAGCUGCGGCAGCGACACUAUGUGUUGUUGGGUAGGGGAGCGUUCUGUAAGCCUGCGAAGGUGUACUGUGAGGUAUGCUGGAGGUAUCAGAAGUGCGAAUGCUGACAUAAGUAACGAUAAAGCGGGUGAAAAGCCCGCUCGCCGGAAGACCAAGGGUUCCUGUCCAACGUUAAUCGGGGCAGGGUGAGUCGACCCCUAAGGCGAGGCCGAAAGGCGUAGUCGAUGGGAAACAGGUUAAUAUUCCUGUACUUGGUGUUACUGCGAAGGGGGGACGGAGAAGGCUAUGUUGGCCGGGCGACGGUUGUCCCGGUUUAAGCGUGUAGGCUGGUUUUCCAGGCAAAUCCGGAAAAUCAAGGCUGAGGCGUGAUGACGAGGCACUACGGUGCUGAAGCAACAAAUGCCCUGCUUCCAGGAAAAGCCUCUAAGCAUCAGGUAACAUCAAAUCGUACCCCAAACCGACACAGGUGGUCAGGUAGAGAAUACCAAGGCGCUUGAGAGAACUCGGGUGAAGGAACUAGGCAAAAUGGUGCCGUAACUUCGGGAGAAGGCACGCUGAUAGGUAGGUGAAGCGACUUGCUCGUGGAGCUGAAAUCAGUCGAAGAUACCAGCUGGCUGCAACUGUUUAUUAAAAACACAGCACUGUGCAAACACGAAAGUGGACGUAUACGGUGUGACGCCUGCCCGGUGCCGGAAGGUUAAUUGAUGGGGUCAGCCGCAAGGCGAAGCUCUUGAUCGAAGCCCCGGUAAACGGCGGCCGUAACUAUAACGGUCCUAAGGUAGCGAAAUUCCUUGUCGGGUAAGUUCCGACCUGCACGAAUGGCGUAAUGAUGGCCAGGCUGUCUCCACCCGAGACUCAGUGAAAUUGAACUCGCUGUGAAGAUGCAGUGUACCCGCGGCAAGACGGAAAGACCCCGUGAACCUUUACUAUAGCUUGACACUGAACAUUGAGCCUUGAUGUGUAGGAUAGGUGGGAGGCUUUGAAGCGUGGACGCCAGUCUGCGUGGAGCCGACCUUGAAAUACCACCCUUUAAUGUUUGAUGUUCUAACGUGGACCCGUAAUCCGGGUUGCGGACAGUGUCUGGUGGGUAGUUUGACUGGGGCGGUCUCCUCCUAAAGAGUAACGGAGGAGCACGAAGGUUGGCUAAUCCUGGUCGGACAUCAGGAGGUUAGUGCAAUGGCAUAAGCCAGCUUGACUGCGAGCGUGACGGCGCGAGCAGGUGCGAAAGCAGGUCAUAGUGAUCCGGUGGUUCUGAAUGGAAGGGCCAUCGCUCAACGGAUAAAAGGUACUCCGGGGAUAACAGGCUGAUACCGCCCAAGAGUUCAUAUCGACGGCGGUGUUUGGCACCUCGAUGUCGGCUCAUCACAUCCUGGGGCUGAAGUAGGUCCCAAGGGUAUGGCUGUUCGCCAUUUAAAGUGGUACGCGAGCUGGGUUUAGAACGUCGUGAGACAGUUCGGUCCCUAUCUGCCGUGGGCGCUGGAGAACUGAGGGGGGCUGCUCCUAGUACGAGAGGACCGGAGUGGACGCAUCACUGGUGUUCGGGUUGUCAUGCCAAUGGCACUGCCCGGUAGCUAAAUGCGGAAGAGAUAAGUGCUGAAAGCAUCUAAGCACGAAACUUGCCCCGAGAUGAGUUCUCCCUGACUCCUUGA